RNAcentral lists this ribosomal RNA (466 nucleotides) under uncultured bacterium. Its description in RNAcentral is "partial 16S ribosomal RNA". It matches the Rfam family "Bacterial small subunit ribosomal RNA", at positions 330 to 793 of the family's 1533-position model. The record is from RNAcentral.
UCCAGACUCCUACGGGAGGCAGCAGUGAGGAAUAUUGGUCAAUGGGCGCGAGCCUGAACCAGCCAAGUAGCGUGAAGGAUGACUGCCCUACGGGUUGUAAACUUCUUUUAUAAAGGAAUAAAGUGAGGCACGUGUGCCUUUUUGUAUGUACUUUAUGAAUAAGGAUCGGCUAACUCCGUGCCAGCAGCCGCGGUAAUACGGAGGAUGCGAGCGUUAUCCGGAUUUAUUGGGUUUAAAGGGUGCGUAGGCGGCAUUAUAAGUUAGUGGUAAAAUAUUGGGGCUUCACCUCACUACGCCAUUAAUACUGUAGAGCUAGAGAACAGACGAGGUAGGCGGAAUAAGUUAAGUAGCGGUGAAAUGCAUAGAUAUAACUUAGAACACCGAUAGCGAAGGCAGCUUACCAGACUGAGUCUGACGCUGAUGCACGAGAGCAUGGGUAGCGAACAGGAUUAGAUACCCGUGUAAG